Molecule: long non-coding RNA, 1716 nt
Organism: Macadamia integrifolia
Lineage: Eukaryota; Viridiplantae; Streptophyta; Magnoliopsida; Proteales; Proteaceae
Exons: 2
Source: RefSeq, a predicted model, not a curated record
CUUGCCGAACCUCGUAAAAUCCGUGUGCAUUGUUUGUUUUGUUUUUUUCAUUAUCUUCUGCAUCGUUUUAGGGUUGCGUUUCUACAUUUUCUUCAUUUCUUGUUCAACAUGGGUCUUCAAAUUGGAAGUAUGUUGUUUUUCAUGACAUGAAUUAGAUUUAUCACAUUGAGUGGUUACUAUUAGUUUUUGUUAGUCUCAUCAAUCUACCAUCUUUGAAAUAUGUUUGGUACUUUUUCCAUUUGGUCAUAUUAUUGUUAACAUUGUUUUUCAAUGCAACUGGAGGUCUGCUAUGAUUGCGAAGGGUGUUUUAUUUCCAUGGUGAAAGUGACGAAAAUUAGGAGGGGGCUAAAAUCCUAAGGUCCAACAAGUUUUGAUGGCUGAAAUGAGUUCAGUGAAGCUAAUUUAUUUUACUACUUAUCAGUCAAAGCAAGAUAUUCAUGAAGUCCCCUGAACAGAUUUGAUAAAAGUAAAAUUUUAACCAUGAGGAUAUGUGGCAUAAGGCAAUCAGACCGUCAGAUAUAAAGAAGAAGAUCGAGAAAAUUUGAUGUGGGCCUUGGGGUGAGAGAUGUAGCCGCAUCUAUGAUAGAGAAGGUGGGUUGGUUAGAAAAAUGAAUAUCUAACUGAAAUCAUGUUUCCUUCAAAGUGCCCUGGUCUAGCAUUUCCUUCACAAUCACUCUCUCAAAUCAUAAAAUGACGACUGAAGCUCCAUGGACAGCAGAAAAUUAUAGUGCUUGGUGGCCUUCUCUUAUCUGAGAACAGAGAAAGCCUAUCUAGCAGACACAAAAGGAAUCCUUUUAAACUUUUUGGGUUCUUCCCAUUGUCAAUAAUCUAUACCCUCUACUACCUGUCUUUUACAGUCCUCCACUACCCAGUGUUUUCAAAAGAAGUGUAGCAGAAGAAAUGGUUGUUGGUUUUGCUCUGGCAUUAGUUUUUUAUGACCCCAAAAAGCGGAUUUUUCUGUGCGAUCUUGGGUGUUGGUACCUGGGUGACCGUUUGGCUCAGCAGUAGCUUUGGCAUAUUAAUCUGCUUCAGUUUCUAACCAUGUGUUAAUAUGAUACCUAUAGGACUGCCAUUUUGACCUAGGUUGAUUGUGCAUAAUCAUGUAUUAUAUAUAAUGCAUUCCUACAAGAUGAGAAUGAUGAGGAUAUAAUAUAUGGUAUGUUUAGAAAUGUUCUUGCCUGUAUUACCAACCCCACAACCUUCCCUGGGAAAAAAAAAAGAAAAAGGAAAAUUCUCUUUUAACUUUGCUUCUCUAUGGAUGUUGCAGAGAAAAGAGAUUCUCGGGCUAUGCCCUGCUAUUGAUAACACUGUACAAGCUUCCAAGCUUUGAUUCUGUUGAUGACUUCAUGCAAAAGGUGGCCACUGUGAGGGUUUAGCUCAAAAAGGGUGGUGUUGUGGAUGUCGAAGCCACAACAAUAAUAAUUCUGCAUGACUGGAAUGAGGUAAGGUUAAUGCACAUGCUUUGAAGACAGUUCAUUUAGCUGGAAAAUAUGGCAUUUUAGCCAAGGAGUAGAUUAUGCAAGUUAGCAAAAGCUAUUGAUCGAGCAUGCACCCAUGAGAGCAAAAGCGAAGGAUCAAGUGUUACCCGUGUAACUUCUUGUAGAUAUUAACAUAGGUAAAUAUAUUCAUUUUGCACAUCAAUAUUGUUAUUUAAUAUAAAUGAAAACAUUGAAUCGUAUAAUUGAAGUGCAGUUAAUUUUUGUUCUUUACAUUUUC